UACGGGAGGCAGCAGUGAGGAAUAUUGGUCAAUGGUCGAGAGACUGAACCAGCCAAGUAGCGUGCAGGAUGACGGCCCUAUGGGUUGUAAACUGCUUUUAUGCGGGGAUAAAGUGCGGCACGUGUGCCAUUUUGUAGGUACCGCAUGAAUAAGGACCGGCUAAUUCCGUGCCAGCAGCCGCGGUAAU
This 187-nucleotide ribosomal RNA is filed under the name uncultured rumen bacterium. Its description in RNAcentral is "partial 16S ribosomal RNA". It matches the Rfam family "Bacterial small subunit ribosomal RNA", at positions 340 to 524 of the family's 1533-position model. The record is from RNAcentral.